RNAcentral lists this ribosomal RNA (253 nucleotides) under uncultured bacterium. RNAcentral's name for it is "partial 16S ribosomal RNA". It matches the Rfam family "Bacterial small subunit ribosomal RNA", at positions 524 to 776 of the family's 1533-position model. The record is from RNAcentral.
UACGUAGGGUGCGAGCGUUAAUCGGAAUUACUGGGCGUAAAGGGCGCGUAGGUGGCCUUUUGAGUCAGACGUGAAAUCCCCCGGCUUAACCUGGGAACUGCGUCUGAUACUGGAAGGCUUGAGUUCGGGAGAGGGAUGUGGAAUUCCAGGUGUAGCGGUGAAAUGCGUAGAUAUCUGGAGGAACACCGGUGGCGAAGGCGGCGUUCUGGACUGCUACUGACACUGAGGAACGAAAGCCAGGGGAGCAAACGGG